GAUGAACGCUGGCGGCGUGCCUAAUACAUGCAAGUCGAGCGAACGGACGAGAAGCUUGCUUCUCUGAUGUUAGCGGCGGACGGGUGAGUAACACGUGGAUAACCUACCUAUAAGACUGGGAUAACUUCGGGAAACCGUAGCUAAUACCGGAUAAUAUUUUGAACCGCAUGGUUCAAAAGUGAAAGACGGUCUUGCUGUCACUUAUAGAUGGAUCCGCGCUGCAUUAGCUAGUUGGUAAGGUAACGGCUUACCAAGGCAACGAUGCAUAGCCGACCUGAGAGGGUGAUUGGCCACACUGGAACUGAGACACGGUCCAGACUCCUACGGGAGGCAGCAGUAGGGAAUCUUCCGCAAUGGGCGAAAGCCUGACGGAGCAACACCGCGCGAGUGAUGAAGGUCUUCGGAUCGUAAAACUCUGUUAUUAGGGAAGAACAUAUGUGUAAGUAACUGUGCACAUCUUGACGGUACCUAAUCAGAAAGCCACGGCUAACUACGUG
Molecule: ribosomal RNA, 497 nt
Filed under: uncultured bacterium
Lineage: Bacteria
Description: partial 16S ribosomal RNA
Rfam family: Bacterial small subunit ribosomal RNA
Source: RNAcentral